This 1542-nucleotide ribosomal RNA is filed under the name Escherichia coli. Its description in RNAcentral is "bacterial SSU rRNA". It matches the Rfam family "Bacterial small subunit ribosomal RNA". Lineage: Bacteria; Pseudomonadati; Pseudomonadota; Gammaproteobacteria; Enterobacterales; Enterobacteriaceae. The record is from RNAcentral.
AAAUUGAAGAGUUUGAUCAUGGCUCAGAUUGAACGCUGGCGGCAGGCCUAACACAUGCAAGUCGAACGGUAACAGGAAACAGCUUGCUGUUUCGCUGACGAGUGGCGGACGGGUGAGUAAUGUCUGGGAAACUGCCUGAUGGAGGGGGAUAACUACUGGAAACGGUAGCUAAUACCGCAUAACGUCGCAAGACCAAAGAGGGGGACCUUCGGGCCUCUNNNNNNNNNNNNNNCCCAGAUGGGAUUAGCUAGUAGGUGGGGUAACGGCUCACCUAGGCGACGAUCCCUAGCUGGUCUGAGAGGAUGACCAGCCACACUGGAACUGAGACACGGUCCAGACUCCUACGGGAGGCAGCAGUGGGGAAUAUUGCACAAUGGGCGCAAGCCUGAUGCAGCCAUGCCGCGUGUAUGAAGAAGGCCUUCGGGUUGUAAAGUACUUUCAGCGGGGAGGAAGGGAGUAAAGUUAAUACCUUUGCUCAUUGACGUUACCCGCAGAAGAAGCACCGGCUAACUCCGUGCCAGCAGCCGCGGUAAUACGGAGGGUGCAAGCGUUAAUCGGAAUUACUGGGCGUAAAGCGCACGCAGGCGGUUUGUUAAGUCAGAUGUGAAAUCCCCGGGCUCAACCUGGGAACUGCAUCUGAUACUGGCAAGCUUGAGUCUCGUAGAGGGGGGUAGAAUUCCAGGUGUAGCGGUGAAAUGCGUAGAGAUCUGGAGGAAUACCGGUGGCGAAGGCGGCCCCCUGGACGAAGACUGACGCUCAGGUGCGAAAGCGUGGGGAGCAAACAGGAUUAGAUACCCUGGUAGUCCACGCCGUAAACGAUGUCGACUUGGAGGUUGUGCCCUUGAGGCGUGGCUUCCGGAGCUAACGCGUUAAGUCGACCGCCUGGGGAGUACGGCCGCAAGGUUAAAACUCAAAUGAAUUGACGGGGGCCCGCACAAGCGGUGGAGCAUGUGGUUUAAUUCGAUGCAACGCGAAGAACCUUACCUGGUCUUGACAUCCACGGAAGUUUUCAGAGAUGAGAAUGUGCCUUCGGGAACCGUGAGACAGGUGCUGCAUGGCUGUCGUCAGCUCGUGUUGUGAAAUGUUGGGUUAAGUCCCGCAACGAGCGCAACCCUUAUCCUUUGUUGCCAGCGGUCCGGCCGGGAACUCAAAGGAGACUGCCAGUGAUAAACUGGAGGAAGGUGGGGAUGACGUCAAGUCAUCAUGGCCCUUACGACCAGGGCUACACACGUGCUACAAUGGCGCAUACAAAGAGAAGCGACCUCGCGAGAGCAAGCGGACCUCAUAAAGUGCGUCGUAGUCCGGAUUGGAGUCUGCAACUCGACUCCAUGAAGUCGGAAUCGCUAGUAAUCGUGGAUCAGAAUGCCACGGUGAAUACGUUCCCGGGCCUUGUACACACCGCCCGUCACACCAUGGGAGUGGGUUGCAAAAGAAGUAGGUAGCUUAACCUUCGGGAGGGCGCUUACCACUUUGUGAUUCAUGACUGGGGUGAAGUCGUAACAAGGUAACCGUAGGGGAACCUGCGGUUGGAUCACCUCCUUA